AAAUGCAAAUCAAAACGCACAAAGAGCUUUUGGUAUCUGGCAUCCAUCAGGAUGGCGAUUGUUAAAAGAACAAAGAAGAAAAGAGAAGGAAAAACAAAAGAAGUUGUCUAGAGCUAUGGCGUGGGGGUCAUAUGCCUGGUGUUCCUGAGGGUGGCAUGCAGGAGAGACUUGGAACUCUGGUGGUGGUGUUUCGAUAUGGCCUUGGGGCGGCGCAGAAGAGGAUGUACGGAUGGCAGUUUGCGUGUUUCACUGGCUAAGGCCCCAGCCAGCUCAGCAGACAACUUAGGCUCUAAAUUUGUUUUGCACUCCGCACAAAGCUACAUAUGUCACGAAGAGAUGCUCGUGCUCACAGGAGAGCAGACUGUCUGCAGAGCCAUAGAAACUCAAAACAGAGAGCAGCAAGCCUUCUGGUUGCUUUUAAGAUUCUGGAAACCAAUCAUGAUAAAAGUCAAUAGAAUCGUUUUGUAGAGUUACCCACAUUAAGCUUGGACCUGAGUCAACCACGCAGCAGAGGCAACCACCCAACGGUACUCCCCGCACCUGUGCUUAAGCUUUUAUGGUAUCAGGUGCCCCUGGGAUGGACCCCAACAUAAGAGAGAUGCCUGCUCCAAUAUAAGAAACUAUUUGGAACAAGACUUCCAUUUUGAGUUAAUAUUCAACAAACAGAAUAAUUAUUUUAAGAUAUAUUCAUUUUUAUGUCUUCAUCUUCACUUCUGGUUUUAUUAAUUUGGACACUGUCUCUGUGUCCUCUGGUUAGUCUGGCUAAGAGUCUAUCUAUCUUGUUGAUUUGCUCAAAGAACCAGCUCCUGGUUUGGUUGAUUCUUUGUUUAGUUCUUUUUCUUUCUAUUUGGUUGAUUUCAGCCCUGGGUUUGAUGAUUUCCUGCAGUCUACUUCUCUUGGGUAUAUUUGCUUCUUUUUAUUCUAGAGCUUUCGGGUGUACUGUCAGGCUGCUAGUGAAAGCUCUCUUCAGUUUCUUUUUGGAGGCACUCAGAGCUAUGAGUUUUCCUCUUAGGACUGCUUUCAUUGUGUCCCAUAAGUUUUCUUA
This is a long non-coding RNA of Mus musculus (house mouse), 1045 nucleotides long. RefSeq annotates it as predicted gene, 39278. NCBI's taxonomy places the organism in Eukaryota, Metazoa, Chordata, Mammalia, Rodentia, Muridae. The transcript has 3 exons. The record is from RefSeq and is a predicted model, not a curated record.